GAUGAACGCUAGCGGCAGGCCUAAUACAUGCAAGUCGAACGGGACUAAGGAGCUUGCUUCUUAUGAGAGUGGCGCACGGGUGCGUAACACGUAUGCAACCUACCUUCAACAGGGGGAUAGCCUUCCGAAAGGAAGAUUAAUACCGCAUAACAUAAUUGAACGGCAUCGUUUGAUUAUCAAACCUACGGGGGUUGAAGUGGGCAUGCGUCCGAUUAGUUAGUUGGUGAGGUAACGGCUCACCAAGGCAUCGAUCGGUAGGGGAUCUGAGAGGAUGACCCCCACCACUGGUACUGAGACACGGACCAGACUCCUACGGGAGGCAGCAGUAAGGAAUAUUGGUCAAUGGACGGAAGUCUGAACCAGCCAUGCCGCGUGCAGGAAGACGGUCCUCUGGAUUGUAAACUGCUUUUUGUUAGGGAAGAAACCCCCGAAUGCGUUCGGGUCUGGACGGUACCUAAGAAUAAGGAUCGGCUAACUCUGUGCCAGCAGCCGCGGUAAUACGGAGGAUCCAAGCGUUAUCCGGAUUUAUUGGGUUUAAAGGGUGCGUAGGCGGCGUUGUAAGUCAGUGGUGAAAGUUUGCAGCUUAACUGUAAAAUUGCCAUUGAUACUGCAGUGCUUGAGUACAGAUGAGGUGGGCGGAAUGUGUCAUGUAGCGGUGAAAUGCAUAGAUAUGACACAGAACACCGAUUGCGAAGGCAGCUCACUAAACUGUAACUGACGCUGAGGCACGAAAAGCGUGGGGGAUC
This 746-nucleotide ribosomal RNA is filed under the name uncultured bacterium. Its description in RNAcentral is "bacterial SSU rRNA". It matches the Rfam family "Bacterial small subunit ribosomal RNA", at positions 28 to 770 of the family's 1533-position model. The record is from RNAcentral.